Molecule: transfer RNA, 73 nt
Filed under: Sus scrofa (pig)
Lineage: Eukaryota; Metazoa; Chordata; Mammalia; Artiodactyla; Suidae
Rfam family: tRNA
About the family: Transfer RNA (tRNA) molecules are approximately 80 nucleotides in length.
Source: Rfam by way of RNAcentral
UCCCUGGUGGUUUAAAAGGUUAAGACCCAGUGUUGUCACUGCUGUGGCACAGAUUCGAUCCCUGGCCUGGGAA